Molecule: long non-coding RNA, 465 nt
Organism: Lingula anatina
Lineage: Eukaryota; Metazoa; Brachiopoda; Lingulata; Lingulida; Lingulidae
Source: RefSeq, a predicted model, not a curated record
UUGUGGGUUCGACUUGUUUUGCAGAGGACGGACUGCAUAGAUUUCAGCUCUGCACAGUCGGCCUUCAAGCGGAGAGUGACGUAUAGUUAUCCCUUCUGUGUUUUGAAGAUAUUAUAUCCAGUUUGCCAAGAUGAGUGAUAGCGACCUUAAAGCCAAGUUUCUGGAAUAUUGUACAUUUGGUGGACAAAAAGAUAAGACCACAAUCACCACCAAAAACUUGAACAAAAUGUUUAAAGAUUGCAACAUCAUCAACAAGAAGUUUAACAGUAACGCCUUAGACAUUGCAUUCUCUAAAAUACUAUCUAAAGGUCCUAAGGGGGCAAAAGAACUAAAUUUUCAGCAGUUUAAGGAUUUGCUGGCACUUCAAGAAAUAAAAGAUGCACACAAAGAUAAGGACAUUGCAAGCAUUAUUACUGGUGGUGGUGGACCAAGCCUGGCUGGCACAACUGUAAGUUUAAUUAUUGC